Molecule: ribosomal RNA, 606 nt
Filed under: Trichoderma harzianum
Lineage: Eukaryota; Fungi; Ascomycota; Sordariomycetes; Hypocreales; Hypocreaceae
Description: eukaryotic LSU rRNA
Rfam family: 5.8S ribosomal RNA (bases 232-385)
Source: RNAcentral
ACUCGUUGGUGACCAGCGGAGGGAUCAUUACCGAGUUUACAACUCCCAAACCCAAUGUGAACGUUACCAAACUGUUGCCUCGGCGGGAUCUCUGCCCCGGGUGCGUCGCAGCCCCGGACCAAGGCGCCCGCCGGAGGACCAACCAAAACUCUUAUUGUAUACCCCCUCGCGGGUUUUUUUAUAAUCUGAGCCUUCUCGGCGCCUCUCGUAGGCGUUUCGAAAAUGAAUCAAAACUUUCAACAACGGAUCUCUUGGUUCUGGCAUCGAUGAAGAACGCAGCGAAAUGCGAUAAGUAAUGUGAAUUGCAGAAUUCAGUGAAUCAUCGAAUCUUUGAACGCACAUUGCGCCCGCCAGUAUUCUGGCGGGCAUGCCUGUCCGAGCGUCAUUUCAACCCUCGAACCCCUCCGGGGGGUCGGCGUUGGGGAUCGGCCCUGCCUUGGCGGUGGCCGUCUCCGAAAUACAGUGGCGGUCUCGCCGCAGCCUCUCCUGCGCAGUAGUUUGCACACUCGCAUCGGGAGCGCGGCGCGUCCACAGCCGUUAAACACCCAACUUCUGAAAUGUUGACCUCGGAUCAGGUAGGAAUACCCGCUGAACUUAAGCAUAUCA